RNAcentral lists this ribosomal RNA (719 nucleotides) under Boana albopunctata (spotted treefrog). RNAcentral describes it as "partial 16S ribosomal RNA". It matches the Rfam family "Bacterial large subunit ribosomal RNA", at positions 1926 to 2925 of the family's 2925-position model. The record is from RNAcentral. Lineage: Eukaryota; Metazoa; Chordata; Amphibia; Anura; Hylidae.
AACGGCCGCGGUAUCCUAACCGUGCGAAGGUAGCGUAAUCACUUGUUCUUUAAAUGAGGACUAGUAUGAAUGGCACCACGAGGGUUAAGCUGUCUCCUUUUUCUAAUCAGUGAAACUAAUCUCCCCGUGAAGAAGCGGGGAUUAUACUAUAAGACGAGAAGACCCUAUGGAGCUUAAAACAAAUUAACACUUGCUUCUAUCCAUUUUUACUCCUGAACUAACACAUAAAAUAUAGCAUCGUUGAUUAAUAGUUUUCGAUUGGGGUGAUCAUGGAGUAAAAACCAACCUCCACGACGAAAAGGAACACUUCCCUGAGCUAAAAGCUACAACUUUAAGCACUAAAAAAUUAACGCACUUUGACCCAAAUUUUUGAGCAACGAACCAAGUUACCCUAGGGAUAACAGCGCAAUCCAUUUCAAGAGCCCCUAUCGACAAAUGGGUUUACGACCUCGAUGUUGGAUCAGGGUAUCCCAGUGGUGCAGCCGCUACUAAAGGUUCGUUUGUUCAACGAUUAAAACCCUACGUGAUCUGAGUUCAGACCGGAGAAAUCCAGGUCAGUUUCUAUCUAUAAAGGGCUUUUUCUAGUACGAAAGGACCGAAAAAGCAUGGCCAAUGAUCAAUUAAGCCAUAUAAAUUACUCAUGUUUUCAACUCAAUUAGAAACAAACCUACCAUAAACCUCAAAAAAAGAGAAGUUAACGUAGCAAAACCUGGCCCUGC